RNAcentral lists this ribosomal RNA (180 nucleotides) under Staphylococcus pasteuri. Its description in RNAcentral is "partial 16S ribosomal RNA". It matches the Rfam family "Bacterial small subunit ribosomal RNA", at positions 405 to 576 of the family's 1533-position model. The record is from RNAcentral. Lineage: Bacteria; Bacillati; Bacillota; Bacilli; Caryophanales; Staphylococcaceae.
GUGAUGAAGGUCUUCGGAUCGUAAAACUCUGUUAUCAGGGAAGAACAAACGUGUAAGUAACUGUGCACGUCUUGACGGUACCUGAUCAGAAAGCCACGGCUAACUACGUGCCAGCAGCCGCGGUAAUACGUAGGUGGCAAGCGUUAUUAAAAAAUUAUUGGGCGUAAAGCGCGCGUAAGC